RNAcentral lists this ribosomal RNA (508 nucleotides) under uncultured bacterium. RNAcentral describes it as "bacterial SSU rRNA". It matches the Rfam family "Bacterial small subunit ribosomal RNA", at positions 355 to 874 of the family's 1533-position model. The record is from RNAcentral.
UUAGGAAUCUUGCGCAAUGGGCGAAAGCCUGACGCAGCGACGCCGCGUGAGCGAUGAAGUCUUUCGGGAUGUAAAGCUCUGUCCUGCGGGGAAGAAGAAUGUGACGGUACCCGCAGAGAAAGCCCCGGCUAACUACGUGCCAGCAGCCGCGGUAAUACGUAGGGGGCGAGCGUUGUCCGAAUUUACUGGGCGUAAAGCGCGUGUAGGCGGUUCCUUAAGUCAGGUGUGAAAUCCUGGGGCUCAACCCCAGAACUGCAUCUGAAACUGGGGGGCUUGAGUUUGGGAGAGGAGAGUGGAAUUCCUGGUGUAGCGGUGAAAUGCGUAGAUAUCAGGAGGAACACCCGUGGCGAAGGCGGCUCUCUGGCCCAACACUGACGCUGAGACGCGAAAGCUAGGGGAGCGAACGGGGAUUAGAUACCCCGGUAGUCCUAGCCGUAAACGAUGAACACUAGGUGUUAGUGGUAUCGACCCCACUAGUGCCGUAGCUAACGCAUUAAGUGUUCCGCCU